CAUUUUCACCCUAUCCCUAAAACCACGCACACAACUACAACAUUUUUCCUCUGCUCCCCUCUCGUGACCGAGCACCGGCGACCGGAGAGCUCCGACCGGCCACUGGUUAUCUCCGGCGAACCACCACGACUCCCCUCUCACACCACUCUCAUACGCACACCAUCCUGUAACUCAGAGAAAGAGAGGCGCUGUACACGGCGGCGACGCGACGUCAAGAUCAGAAGAGACGGAGUGAGAGAAAGAAGAGAGAGGGAGAGAGACGUCAGAGGGGGAAAGAGAAUGACGACAUCGACGGCAGACGGGCAGCUGCGGCGGCGGUGGUGGAUCUCGACGGCAGCUGGUCGUGAUGACACGGCUGCGCCGCUACUCACGGUGGAGGUGGCGAUGGAUUUCGACACCCCCCCUAAAUCGAGUUCCCUGAAUGUGAUUCCGGCUUCUGAUCAUUCCGAUUUGGUAACGAUGGUGGCUGUACUGGUUGACGACAGCCGCACUUCGUGACUUCUCAGGUGGGGUGUGGUUGUUCCGGUUUGAAUUUUAGCUUCGGUUCAAGUCAGAUUUGAUUUGGUUUAACUCGGGUUGACUAGGUCAAACCGAGUCAACUCAUUGUUCGGGUUAGCGACAGUGGAGCCGGAAAACGGCAGUGAUGUCGGCUGGAUUGGUGGUGGAUAUCCUCGGAUUGGGUUUCGAUUCACAUUCGGUGUAAGUUUGGUUCAACUCGGUUAACAAAGUCAAACCAGUCAACACGUCAGGUUGACUGGUCAACGCUGGUCAACAGGAGUCAAGGGCAGUCAACAACAGUCAACGGAUUGGUUUCGGGUCAACAGCGGUCAAACAGGUCAAGCGAGGUCAACUCAGGACCCGGUAACGACUUAAACAUAGCGAGAUUUAUUGAUUUCGUUGUUUUUUUUAGUCUACGCGAACCGAGCUUGAACCGCCGUACUCUAGUUUAUUUAUUUUAGUGUUCGUUAUAUUUUGCGAAAGAUAUAUAUAAAUGUGAUUGGUUUAUUGUUGAGAAUGCUUUAGUUGCACGCUAGCGAGUUCACAUUCGUGGGAUGACACUACGGAAUCACACUAAGCUAGCUUUGCACAGGAAUAUCUAGGUUUACACUAAACAUACCGGUUUUACAUGACAAACACAUGUCAAAGUUCACAAGGUUCAAUGCAAGCGAACUCGAUGCUAGGGCGAGAUAUGAAAUACUUAAGACAAGACCCGAGGAAUACCCUAGGCGAGCAUGUACGGACCUGUUAACCAUGGUGAACCAGCUAGACCGAUUCAACAACAUCGUGACAG
Molecule: long non-coding RNA, 1291 nt
Filed under: Helianthus annuus (common sunflower)
Lineage: Eukaryota; Viridiplantae; Streptophyta; Magnoliopsida; Asterales; Asteraceae
Source: RNAcentral